Molecule: ribosomal RNA, 569 nt
Filed under: uncultured Pseudomonas sp.
Lineage: Bacteria; Pseudomonadati; Pseudomonadota; Gammaproteobacteria; Pseudomonadales; Pseudomonadaceae
Description: bacterial SSU rRNA
Rfam family: Bacterial small subunit ribosomal RNA
Source: RNAcentral
GCCUUACACAUGCAAGUCGAACGGCAGCAUGAUCUAGCUUGCUAGAUUGAUGGCGAGUGGCGAACGGGUGAGUAAUACAUCGGAACGUGCCCUGUAGUGGGGGAUAACUAGUCGAAAGAUUAGCUAAUACCGCAUACGACCUGAGGGUGAAAGUGGGGGACCGCAAGGCCUCAUGCUAUAGGAGCGGCCGAUGUCUGAUUAGCUAGUUGGUGGGGUAAAGGCCCACCAAGGCGACGAUCAGUAGCUGGUCUGAGAGGACGAUCAGCCACACUGGGACUGAGACACGGCCCAGACUCCUACGGGAGGCAGCAGUGGGGAAUUUUGGACAAUGGGCGAAAGCCUGAUCCAGCAAUGCCGCGUGUGUGAAGAAGGCCUUCGGGUUGUAAAGCACUUUUGUCCGGAAAGAAAUGGCUCUGGUUAAUACCUGGGGUCGAUGACGGUACCGGAAGAAUAAGGACCGGCUAACUACGUGCCAGCAGCCGCGGUAAUACGUAGGGUCCAAGCGUUAAUCGGAAUUACUGGGCGUAAAGCGUGCGCAGGCGGUUGUGCAAGACCGAUGUGAAAUCCCC